RNAcentral lists this ribosomal RNA (253 nucleotides) under uncultured bacterium. RNAcentral's name for it is "partial 16S ribosomal RNA". It matches the Rfam family "Bacterial small subunit ribosomal RNA", at positions 524 to 776 of the family's 1533-position model. The record is from RNAcentral.
UACGAAGGGUGCAAACGUUGCUCGGAAUUAUUGGGCGUAAAGCGCACGUAGGCGGCAUUGCAAGUCGGAUGUGAAAUCCCUCGGCUUAACCAAGGAAGUGCAUCCGAAACUGCAGUGCUUGAGUACUUAAGAGGAUCGCGGAAUUCCCGGUGUAGAGGUGAAAUUCGUAGAUAUCGGGAGGAACACCAGUGGCGAAGGCGGCGACCUGGGAAGAUACUGACGCUGAGGUGCGAAAGCGUGGGGAGCAAACAGG